GCUUUAAGGACCAACAACACAUCUCGGUACGACAAGUGGAGACUCGACCGUACAGACCCGUCCGGUCUCGCACACGACGCCGUUAACGGCAAACGGAGAAACGCCGCCGCCGCCGACCCGCGGGAGGUACUUUCUCCAUCACUGCCUAAAGUGGACCUGAUGUGAACUAGAAUGAAGUUGGCUGGACCUGCAGUGAAGUGGACCUGAAGCUAACUGGACCUCAAGUAGUCUGUGGAAGCUUCAAGGACCAACAACACAUCUCGGUACGACAAGUCGAGACUCGACCGUACAGACCCGUCCGGUCUCGCACACGACGCCGUUAACGGCAAACGGAGAAACGCCGCUGGGAGGCACUUUCUCCAACACUGCCUACAGUGGACCUGAUGUGAACUAGAAUGAAGUUGGCUGGACAUAAAGUUUACUGGACCUCAAGUAGUCUGUGUUGCGGAGGAGCGCGCCGAUACGAGUCGGAGACGGCUCGUACAGUCGGCGCACGAGAGCGGUCCGGACGAAGACAUUCGGGAACCGAGGACGAAGACGCUCGUCGACUGCGGACGAAGACACCGGUCGACGCGCGAGGAAGAUGCUCCGGAACACGGGAAGAACGCCACACUCCCGAGUGCGGGAAGACACUCGUCAACGCAGAAGGAGACACGCAUCAAUGUCGGGCCGGCGUGAUUGUUUUAAAGACGAUUUAACGUGUAAAAUGAAUGUACGUGUU
Homarus americanus (American lobster) is the source of this 721-nucleotide long non-coding RNA. RefSeq lists it as uncharacterized. NCBI's taxonomy places the organism in Eukaryota, Metazoa, Arthropoda, Malacostraca, Decapoda, Nephropidae. The transcript is spliced from 5 exons. The record is from RefSeq and is a predicted model, not a curated record.